Picea glauca (white spruce) is the source of this 82-nucleotide non-coding RNA. NCBI's taxonomy places the organism in Eukaryota, Viridiplantae, Streptophyta, Pinopsida, Pinales, Pinaceae. The record is from Rfam.
GUGGAUGUGACAGAGUGGUUAUCGAGCAUGACUAGAAAUCAUGUGGGCUCUACCCACAUAGGUUCAAAUCCUACCAUCCACG